AGGUGUAGAGCAUUUGACUGCAUAAGAGGCUCACCUUACCAGGUUUUAUUUCUUAGAGAAGUUUUAGCUAAGGAGAUAUUUAAGCCAGAAACUAAAAGGCAAGGAAAAAAAGAGACAGAAAGGAGAGAUGCAAAAGCAUUUGGGCUGUGGAAAUGCCUAACUGCUGUGAAUGCUUAGUCAUUCAGUGUGGCCGGAGGUCAAGGUUGAGUGCAAGGCAGAGAGAUGAGCAAACUGAUGUCAAGGUCAUACAACUACUGAAUGGCGGAAUCCAGAUUUCAUUCCCGGCAAACAGAGUCCAGAGCCCUAAAACUUCAACCAUUAUAUACACUGUGAAGAUAUUUCAUUAAAUACAGAUGGAAUUAAAUCAUCUGACAUUAGAGACAAAGGAAAUUCUGAGAUUAUUGAUUUCCAUCAUGAAACAGAUAUAGAAACUGAAGCUAAGACUUGGAAGUGUCUUGGUUCAGGUGAUUUAUAUAAUUGCAGAAACGUAUCUGCACAAGGCUCCUGACUCCUCAUUAGAAUUACUUUUGCAAAGUUUACUCCAUCUCUUCUGCAAAGUUUCCUCCUUCUUUGCACUUGCAUACCCCUUUCAGGGUUUUGUUU
Molecule: long non-coding RNA, 603 nt
Organism: Bos taurus (domestic cattle)
Lineage: Eukaryota; Metazoa; Chordata; Mammalia; Artiodactyla; Bovidae
Source: Ensembl